GCUUCCCACUCCGGCAGCUUUCACCAGCUCAGGUCCCUUCAGGUCUUGUUUUAUCACCAGUAUUAUCCCCUAACUGAGACUUCUACGGUGUCUCUUAAAGUCUGCAAAAAAGACCAUCUGCAAAGUUCAGAUCUGGGUUCAAACUACACCAAAAGUAUGAAGUGUUGAGAAGCAGGAAUUUACUUCAAUUCUGCCUAUCCUCUCCCUCACUGCUUUUUACUCGUGCUCGGGGAGUCUUUGAAUGACCACAAGCAGUCAGAUUCUUCUGUUUGCUGCUUUAACAGGCAGCACUACCAGCUGCAUGCUGGAUUCGGUUGCUCAUGCUCAGUGCUGACUCAGAGGAGCAAGGGCCACCUACUGAAUCGCCAACCCCAUUUCCUG
This is a long non-coding RNA of Alligator sinensis (Chinese alligator), 381 nucleotides long. RefSeq lists it as uncharacterized. The transcript is spliced from 3 exons. Lineage: Eukaryota; Metazoa; Chordata; Crocodylia; Alligatoridae. The record is from RefSeq and is a predicted model, not a curated record.